CCCUUUGGGGUGUGACUGCGUACCUUUUGUAUAAUGGGUCAGCGACUUAUAUUCUGUAGCAAGGUUAACCGAAUAGGGGAGCCGGAGGGAAACCGAGUCUUAAUUGGGCGUUAAGUUGCAGGGUAUAGACCCGAAACCCGGUGAUCUAGCCAUGGGCAGGUUGAAGGUUGGGUAACACUAACUGGAGGACCGAACCGACUAAUGUUGAAAAAUUAGCGGAUGACCUGUGGCUGGGGGUGAAAGGCCAAUCAAACCGGGAGAUAGCUGGUUCUCCCCGAAAGCUAUUUAGGUAGCGCCUCGUGAAUUCAUCUCCGGGGGUAGAGCACUGUUUCGGCUAGGGGGCCAUCCCGGCUUACCAACCCGAUGCAAACUGCGAAUACCGGAGAAUGUUAUCACGGGAGACACACGGCGGGUGCUAACGUCCGUCGUGAAGAGGGAAACAACCCAGACCGCCAGCUAAGGUCCCAAAGUCAUGGUUAAGUGGGAAACGAUGUGGGAAGGCCCAGACAGCCAGGAUGUUGGCUUAGAAGCAGCCAUCAUUUAAAGAAAGCGUAAUAGCUCACUGGUCGAGUCGGCCUGCGCGGAAGAUGUAACGGGGCUAAACCAUGCACCGAAGCUGCGGCAGCGACGCUGAUGCGUUGUUGGGUAGGGGAGCGUUCUGUAAGCCUG
RNAcentral lists this ribosomal RNA (669 nucleotides) under Salmonella enterica subsp. enterica serovar Bredeney. RNAcentral's name for it is "partial 23S ribosomal RNA". It matches the Rfam family "Bacterial large subunit ribosomal RNA", at positions 582 to 1251 of the family's 2925-position model. Lineage: Bacteria; Pseudomonadati; Pseudomonadota; Gammaproteobacteria; Enterobacterales; Enterobacteriaceae. RNAcentral also lists the same sequence under 1 other name. The record is from RNAcentral.